Molecule: long non-coding RNA, 1814 nt
Filed under: Triticum aestivum (bread wheat)
Lineage: Eukaryota; Viridiplantae; Streptophyta; Magnoliopsida; Poales; Poaceae
Description: long non-coding RNA (TAES_LNC015952)
Source: RNAcentral
GGGAAUUUCUAUGAGGGCUUUUAUCGGACUCACGUUAGCACAUUGGCAGUGAAGAAUAACCUGCUGGUUGCUGGUGGGUUUCAUGGAGAACUAAUUUGCAAGGUAACUUAUUUUCAUUUUUAAUGUUUUCUUCCAUCUCUGACAUCUACAACCACUUACAAUGUAAUUUAUUGUCUGUGGAAUGCAGUUUUUGGACCGUGAAGGAAUAAGCUAUUGUUCCAAGUCAACUCAUGAUGACAAUGGCAUUACUAAUUGUCUGGAGAUAUUUGAGAAACCUAGGUAGGUUAUAUUUCUAUGGACAAAUUGUUCCAUUGUUUCUGUGAAAAUGAGCAUUCAUUGAUCACAAUCUAAAAAUUAUUUUUGCAGUGGUUCCGUGCAUUUCCUAGCAUCAAACAAUGAUUGUGGACUAAGAGACUUUGACAUGGAGAAGUUUCAAAUGUGCAAUCAUUUUCAUUUUGAUUGGGCUGUGAAUGUAAGCCUCGAGCUUCAUCCUUUGCACUUGUCUAUAUUUAGUGUUCUAUUUGCUGCACUGUGUAUUGUAGUUUCCUAAUCAAACCUGGCACUGAAGUCAAUACUCAAUACUUGGUCAAAGAAUGUUUAUCUUCCAUUAGGUGACGAGGAGGAUAUCAGCCUGACCUUGUUUUGCUCCUUUGUUUUCUUUGAUGCAGCACACAUCCUUGAGCCCUGAUGGUAAAAUCAUUGCUAUUGUGGGGGACAAUCCUGAUGGUGUUCUGGUUGAUGCUAAUUCGGGGAAAGUAAGUACAGCGCAAGGCCCAAUCAUCGGCUUUCAAACAACGGCAUUGUAAUUUACACAAGCUUUUGGUUGUUCUUUCCCGCAGAUGAUUCAUGAGCUCAAUGGUCAUUUGGACUAUUCGUUUGCAUCGGCAUGGAACCCAGACGGCCGAACAUUCGCGACUGGGAACCAAGACAAGACAUGCAGGAUCUGGGACGCCCGUAACCUCUCCAAGUCUGUCGCUGUCCUGGGAGGCAACAUGGGAGCCAUAAGGUCGAUCCACUAUACAUCUGACGGCAAGUUCCUGGCAAUGGCCGAAGCUGCAGACUUCAUCCACAUCUUCGACGUCAGGAGCGGGUACGACAGGAAGCAGGAGCUGGACUUCUUUGGUGAGAUUGCCGGCAUAUCGUUCAGUCCUGACACCGAGGCUCUCUUUGUCAGCGUACAUGAUCGCAACUAUAGCAGCCUCCUCCAGUACAGUCGUCGACGGUUCUACGGGUACCUUGAUUCAGCGUUGUGAAUAGCUAGUGGCUGAGGUCUAUAAGAGCAAGAUCGCAAGUUGUAGAAAGGAUGUACAUAUCUGUAGGUCUUGCCCUGCGCUCUGACUAAACCAAAGCUCAGCUACAAAGGUGUGGUUGCGCUGAACAAACUGACGGCCUGUUGUUAUAAGUGAUGUCAUUACCCAUACAUCUCUCAGAACUCUUGCGUGCCUUCUCUUUUGUAAGCCAGCAAUAGUCUAACAAACUAUGCUGAUCUUAUCUUGCUCCCGAUCAGUUUACGUUUAACGUUUACCGAAGAGCAAAUACGAUAGAUAAGGUACAACAGGGUACUCGUGUUUCAAACAAAACAAACAUGAUAUGAAGUGGACGAAAAGGACAUGUAAAAGUGUUUUGCCGGGGGAUAGAGAAAUCUUGAGGCCUCCUUUGGUUCAUUGGAUAGGAUUAUCAUAGGAAUAAGAAACUUAGAAAAUGUGAUAUGUAUCUCAAAUCCUAUGAGUAGGAAUAGGAAAAGAGAUGUCAUUUGGUUCAUAUCAUAGGAAUUUUUCAUUGAGUUUAGGAUCAUGUUUAUUUUUCUUUAAAAU